GAUGAACGCUGGCGGCGUGCCUAACACAUGCAAGUCGAGCGAUCUUCUUCGGAAGAGAGCGGCGGACGGGUGAGUAACGCGUGGGUAACCUGCCCUGUACACACGGAUAACAUACCGAAAGGUAUGCUAAUACGAGAUAAUAUGCUUUUAUCGCAUGGUAGAAGUAUCAAAGCUCCGGCGGUACAGGAUGGACCCGCGUCUGAUUAGCUAGUUGGUAAGGUAACGGCUUACCAAGGCGACGAUCAGUAGCCGACUGAGAGGGUGAUCGGCCACAUUGGAACUGAGACACGGUCCAAACUCCUACGGGAGGCAGCAGUGGGGAAUAUUGCACAAUGGGCGAAAGCCUGAUGCAGCAACGCCGCGUGAGCGAUGAAGGCCUUCGGGUCGUAAAGCUCUGUCCUCAAGGAAGAUAAUGACGGUACUUGAGGAGGAAGCCCCGGCUAACUACGUGCCAGCAGCCGCCGCAG
This 467-nucleotide ribosomal RNA is filed under the name uncultured bacterium. RNAcentral describes it as "partial 16S ribosomal RNA". It matches the Rfam family "Bacterial small subunit ribosomal RNA", at positions 28 to 523 of the family's 1533-position model. The record is from RNAcentral.